GACGAACGCUGGCGGCGUGCUUAACACAUGCAAGUCGAACGGAAAGGCCCUGCUUGCAGGGUACUCGAGUGGCGAACGGGUGAGUAACACGUGGGUGAUCUGCCCUGCACUUCGGGAUAAGCUUGGGAAACUGGGUCUAAUACCGGAUAGGACCGCACUUUAGUGUGUGUGGUGGAAAGUUUUUUCGGUGUAGGAUGAGCUCGCGGCCUAUCAGCUUGUCGGUGGGGUAAUGGCCUACCAAGGCGGCGACGGGUAGCCGGCCUGAGAGGGUGUACGGCCACAUUGGGACUGAGAUACGGCCCAG
Molecule: ribosomal RNA, 304 nt
Filed under: uncultured bacterium
Lineage: Bacteria
Description: bacterial SSU rRNA
Rfam family: Bacterial small subunit ribosomal RNA
Source: RNAcentral